GUAGAGCUGAGCAUGCUGCCAGGUUCUCGGCGCACGCUUGGAAAGUGUGUGUACCCUCACAGGUACCGUGGGUUCGAAUCCCACUCUCUCCGCCA
Molecule: transfer RNA, 95 nt
Filed under: Arenicellales bacterium
Lineage: Bacteria; Pseudomonadati; Pseudomonadota; Gammaproteobacteria; Arenicellales
Description: tRNA-OTHER
Source: RNAcentral